RNAcentral lists this long non-coding RNA (236 nucleotides) under Fukomys damarensis (Damara mole-rat). RNAcentral describes it as "lncRNA (ENSFDAG00000029618.1)". The record is from RNAcentral. Lineage: Eukaryota; Metazoa; Chordata; Mammalia; Rodentia; Bathyergidae.
GAUAAGUACCGUUGGCUUAUUUUUCCCCUCUUCAGGCAGAAGAAGCAUGAUAGGGUCUGGGACUGCCUGGUGAUGCCUGUCUACCAGCCAUGUCUGGAAGUUGGAGAGAUCACAUGGCCACAAGUGGGUGUCCUGCCUUGGACUUGUCUUGAUAAGGUUGUAACAGUUCAGUGUACCAGUGGCAACUGAAAGAUAUAACUGACAAACACUCAGGAGCCAAGCAGCCCAAAAUCCAG